UUAGGAAUUUUGGGCAAUGGGCGCAAGCCUGACCCAGCAACGCCGCGUGGGUGACGAAGGCCUUCGGGUUGUAAAGCCCUUUUCUCGGGGAAGAUGAUGACGGUACCCGAGGAAGAAGCACCGGCUAACUACGUGCCAGCAGCCGCGGUAAUACGUAGGGUGCAAGCGUUGCCCGGAUUUAUUGGGCGUAAAGGGCGCGCAGGCGGCUACGCACGUCCGUUGUGAAAUCGCCCGGCUCAACUGGGCGGGGUCAGCGGAUACGGCGUGGCUGGAGCAAGCUAGGGGGCAAUGGAAUUCCCGGUGUAGUGGUGGAAUGCGUAGAUAUCGGGAGGAACACCAGUGGCGAAGGCGGUUGCCUGGAGCUUUGCUGACGCUGAGGCGCGAAAGCGUGGGGAGCGAUCCGGAUUAGAUACCCGCGUAGUCC
RNAcentral lists this ribosomal RNA (424 nucleotides) under uncultured bacterium. RNAcentral describes it as "bacterial SSU rRNA". It matches the Rfam family "Bacterial small subunit ribosomal RNA", at positions 355 to 796 of the family's 1533-position model. The record is from RNAcentral.